CAGCCGCCACGGGAAUACGUAGGGGGCAAGCGUUAUCCGGAAUAACUGGGCGUAAAGGGUGCGCAGGUGGUUUAACAAGUUAGUGGUGAAAGGCAUAGGCUCAACCAAUGUAAGCCGUUAAAACUGUUUAACUUGAGUGCAGGAGAGGAAAGUGGAAUUCCUAGUGUAGCGGUGAAAUGCGUAGAUAUUAGGAGGAAUACCAGUGGCGAAGGCGACUUUCUGGACUGCAACUGACACUGAGGCACGAAAGCGUGGGGAGCAAACAGGAUUAGAGACCCGCGUAGUCCCUGUCUCUUAUACA
This 301-nucleotide ribosomal RNA is filed under the name uncultured bacterium. RNAcentral's name for it is "partial 16S ribosomal RNA". It matches the Rfam family "Bacterial small subunit ribosomal RNA", at positions 509 to 808 of the family's 1533-position model. The record is from RNAcentral.